GGUGGCUCAGUGGUAGAGUGCUUGCCUUGCAUGCAUGAGGCCCUAGGUUUGAUUCCUUAGCACCA
Molecule: non-coding RNA, 65 nt
Organism: Dipodomys ordii (Ord's kangaroo rat)
Lineage: Eukaryota; Metazoa; Chordata; Mammalia; Rodentia; Heteromyidae
Source: Rfam